UAUUUUUUCGAUCAGACGAACGAUGUGGAAAAAUUUCCUUUUCAAAAUUUGCAGCUAUCUCUCUCGCACUCACGGUUGUGAUUACCGACUGAUCAUCUUAGAGGAGAUCGCUCAUCGGCAAAACAAAAAUCUCUCGAUGAGAUGAAACAAAAAGAUGUUUAUGAAACUUCACCAGUUCAUUUAAGUGAUCUUAAGCCAUUUUUAUGUUUAUAAUGUCUGCUAACCGGAAUCUCAGUACUUUAAAAUUGACUGCCUAUGCUUCGAAUGCAAUACCGAAUUAUGACUUGAUAAGCAAAUUAUUGAAAAUUCCGAAAAUGGAUGGCGUGGAGGAAUUCAAAAAAUUGAGUUUUCUACAUACUUCGGAAUUCGCGAUAUUGGAGAAAAAUAUGCCAUUUCCAGAAAAACGGAUUUUGAAUAUACCUCACAAAAGGAUGAACAAUUGGAAUAAUUACAUAGUUCACUCUCGACAUCCCGAUAAUCUGGAAUCAUGGCGCGACGAGUGUAAAAUUCCAGACAAUUGGAUUGGACCGGAACUCAAGAAAAAUAGUUAAUUUUUGUAACAACUUAAAUUUAAUAUUGAACUAUUUUUGAACAAAGGUAAAAGCAACAACCUCACUUUUUUAUACAGGUUGAACUUUGUUGAAAACUAAACGAUAAACGGUGAAUAGCUUGAGUGAGAUGUUCACGUAACACCGAAUGAUCAGAAUAACGAACGAUUAACAAAAUUUCUUCAUUAGGAACAUUCAAAUAUAUAAUAUAUUCAAAAAGA
Long non-coding RNA from Venturia canescens, 769 nucleotides. RefSeq lists it as uncharacterized. The transcript is spliced from 2 exons. NCBI's taxonomy places the organism in Eukaryota, Metazoa, Arthropoda, Insecta, Hymenoptera, Ichneumonidae. The record is from RefSeq and is a predicted model, not a curated record.